RNAcentral lists this unclassified non-coding RNA (520 nucleotides) under uncultured Glomus. RNAcentral describes it as "SSU rRNA". It matches the Rfam family "Eukaryotic small subunit ribosomal RNA", at positions 569 to 1091 of the family's 1831-position model. Lineage: Eukaryota; Fungi; Glomeromycota; Glomeromycetes; Glomerales; Glomeraceae. The record is from RNAcentral.
AGCAGCCGCGGUAAUUCCAGCUCCAAUAGCGUAUAUUAAAGUUGUUGCAGUUAAAAAGCUCGUAGUUGAAUUUCGGGAUCAAGGAAUCGGUCAUGCCUCGGUAUGUACUGGUUUUAUUGGUUCUCACCUUCUACAGAACCAUAAUGUCAUUCAUUUGAUGUUAUGGGGAAUUAGGACUGUUACCUUGAAAAAAUUAGAGUGUUUAAAGCAGGCUUACGCUUGAAUACAUUAGCAUGGAAUAAUGAAAUAGGACAUCAGAUUCUAUUUUGUUGGUUUCUAGGAUCGAUGUAAUGAUUAAUAGGGAUAGUUGGGGGCAUUAGUAUUCAAUUGUCAGAGGUGAAAUUCUUGGAUUUAUUGAAGACUAACUACUGCGAAAGCAUUUGCCAAGGAUGUUUUCAUUAAUCAAGAACGAAAGUUAGGGGAUCGAAGACGAUCAGAUACCGUCGUAGUCUUAACCAUAAACUAUGCCGACUAGGGAUCGGAUGAUGUUAAUUUUAUAAUGACUCAUUCGGCACCUUAC